ACUCCUACGGGAGUCAGCAGUGGGGAAUAUUGCACAAUGGGGGAAACCCUGAUGCAGCCAUGCCGCGUGUGUGAAGAAGGCCUUCGGUUGUAAAGCACUUUCAGUAGGGAGGAAGGUAGUGUAGUUAACACCUGCAUUAUUUGACGUUACCUACAGAAGAAGCACCGGCUAACUCCGUGCCAGCAGCCGCGGUAAUACGGAGGGUGCGAGCGUUAAUCGGAAUUACUGGGCGUAAAGCGCAUGCAGGCGGCCUGUUAAGUCAGAUGUGAAAGCCCGGGGCUUAACCUCGGAAUUGCAUUUGAAACUGGCAGGCUAGAGUCUUGUAGAGGGGUUAGAAUUUCAGGUGUAGCGGUGAAAUGCGUAGAGAUCUGAAGG
Molecule: ribosomal RNA, 375 nt
Filed under: uncultured bacterium
Lineage: Bacteria
Description: bacterial SSU rRNA
Rfam family: Bacterial small subunit ribosomal RNA
Source: RNAcentral